CGUGGCUUCACAUGCUGUGGAGAGAGAGACAGCAAGCUCACUGGUAUCUCUUCUAAUGAGGGCACUAAUCCCAUCAUGAAGCCCCCACCAUCGUGACUUCACCUAAACUUAAUUAUCUCUCAAAAGCUCCAUUUCCACAUACCAUUACACUGGGGGUUGGGGUUUCCGCAUACAAAUUUAUUGGCGAAGGAGUCUAUAGUGUACCCACAGAAUGUAUUUCUGGCUCAAAUCUUCAGACCUAUACUGGGUUUGGGAGGCUAGGGGCAAAGAAUCUCCUACUUCUACAGAAAGCACUCAGAGAAACUCUUUGCCUAUAAUCAAGUCUUAAUGGGGAAAUGUGAGGAUCAACUCUUUCUGUGGGCAACACAAGAGCUGGGUGUUUUUUUUUACCCCCUUCUAGGUCAAAGGGUGUCAGGUUGAGACUUCACGUCACUCUUCAGUGUCAUGACUGGGGUCAAGAGGCAAAGUUCUAUCCUUCAGAAAGUCAGAGCCUUACCUGCCGUUGAGUCCACAGUCAGAUGCAUGACAACCUGAGGUUAGUUUGAUCAUCUUUAUUAUAACCAUUGAGGUCCUGGUGCACCUGCUUUAAAAGGAGCAAGAUGAUGAAUUUUUUCUGAUAUUCCAAGUUAUAAAAAUAAAGCUCAGAAAGUCAAGAUGGCUCUGAUGUAUUAAAAAAUAGGGGCACCUGCGUGGCUCAGUCGGUAAAGCAUUUGGACUCUCAAUUUCAGCUCAGGUCAUGAUCUCACCAAUGUGAGAUCGAGACCUGACUCAGGCUCUGAGCUGGGCUUGGUACAGCCAGCUUACGAUUCUCUCUCAAUCUGGGGCGCCCGGUGGCUCCAUCAGUUAAGCGUCUGACCUCGACUCAGGUCAUGAUUUCAUGGCUCAUGAGUUCAAGCCCCACGUCAGGCUCUGUGCUGACAGCUUAGAGCCUGGAGCCUGCUUCAGAGUCUGUCUCCCUCUCUCUCUCUGCCCCUCCCCACUCAUGCUCUAUCUAUCUCUCUCUCUCUGUCCUUCAAAAUAUGUAAACAUUAAAAAAAAUAUUUUCUCUCAAUCUCCCUCUGCCCCUCGCCAACUUCCACCUGCUUAAGAUUCUCUCUCCCUCUCUUUCUGCCCCUUCCCCACUUGCACGCGAGUGUGAGCUCUCUCUAAAAAAAAAAAAAAAAAAGAAUAAAGCCUCUAUAGUUGGUACUUUACAUGUAGUUGGCCUUCCCAGGAAAAUGUGAAAAGUUGUCCCUGUUACCAUGAACUGCUUUGGGAUCCUCAAACAAAAUUAGCAAUUUAUUCAAUAGAAAAAAUAUCCAGUGAAUAGACAAAAUUCUAACUGAACCCUCAAACUGAGCCACUUUAUCUCUACCAAAUAAUUAUUAAUAAUAAUGAUCAUAAUAAUGAUGAUUAUUAUUAAACAGGAAAUCUGUAGCUUUGAAAAGAAAACCUAAGAAUUUCUCUCAAAUCUUCUAAUGUGAUGGGAUCCAAACAUAAAGAAUAAUUUGAAUGAAAAAGUUUGCCCCCAAAAAUGCAUGAGAUCCUUUCAUUGUGAUUGUUUCCAUGUGCCUUUCUGAGAGCUUCACAGGUCAAAUCCAAGAAUGAGAGAAAACAGUCUUUUUUUUUUUUUUAAUGGCAUGUUUGCAUUAGAUAGUCCUCCAUUAGUUUUAUAUCUGAUCUGGCUUGAUUCUGGGUGUUAUAACUGGGGAGUGCAGACUGACGUGGCCCCCCCGAGAGGGAGCUGCCGCCAGUCAGGGGGAAGAGAAGCAGAACAUUCUCUAACUUACCAGAUGCUUAGGCUAGGCAGUGAAACCUCCAAAUGAAAGGGCAGCAAAAUUUUCUUAUCUCCACCCCAUAAUGAAGUCAUAAAAGUCUUGACUUUCCCUGAUGUGUGGCCAUGUGGUUUUAAACAGUGCAUGAGUUUGGGUUUUCCUACAAGCAGACCUUGAGACAAAAACCUGGGGAUGGAGAGUUGGCUUUGGAGAUAAUCCCAAGGAGCAGAAGUGGGGAAGUGGGGAAUCUGAGCCUGGGAAGUGAGAAAAAAAAAAAACAAUAAGGAAGGAAACACCGCCCUCAUGUGGGGUUUGUUUCCUUUCAAAGUACUUUGAAAUGAUUAGUUAAAGGCUAAAUAUGAACUCGAAGACACUCCAUGAUUUAUAAUUUUUGUCUAUCUUUCCUCCUAAAAAUAUUUCCAUGCUGGACCUGUUGUUCCUAUAUCCAUUAAGCAUAUCCAUUGGACUGGUCUCCCACCCCAGCCUUUCCUGGAGUGUUUUAUCUGGCUUGAAAGCUUAUGACUGAGAUGUAAGUCCGCGUGGUAAAUACCAACCCAGAGGAGCCGUUUUAAAGUCCAUCUGCACUAUGCUGGAGGAGGAAAGGAGAGUCGGCCGGGCUCCCUGAAGGCCCGGAGGCACGCUGAGGUGACACAGGCAUACUCAUCGAUGCCUUUGGCAAAUAUUUCUUGGAUUCUUCCCGCGUUUCUGCUUAGGAUCAGCCCCCGCCAGGAGAAGCAGAUGUAAACAGCACAAUGACAACACAGGGUGGUAUGUGCUGUGUCAUCAAGACGCACAGAGAGUGUGCUGGGAUCACUGACAAGGGAGCAGUCGACUUUGUCCCGGGCAGCGCAGAAGUCCCCAUAGUCCAGGAGAUACAGAAAGAAGGGCAUUUCCCAGACAGAGAGGGUAGACACCCCUUCCAGACAAAGAGCCGGCAUUUGCAAGAGCCCAGGGUCUAGAGUGAGAACCAGCGAAAGAGAAAGGGAAGAAGGAAGACCAGAGGACAAAGAGAAGGGAACUGCUAUGGAAGGAGACGAAGGAAUUAUAAAGGGAUGUGGACAUUAUCUCCUAACCUGUGAGGGGGCCUUUGAAGAGAUUUAAACAAACAGAUUUGCACUCUAUAAAGAUCUCUAAGGUAGCUGCAGGGUUGAGAGCAAGGAGGUGCGUCCGCGGUAGGGGAAGAGGGAUUGGAUGGUCAGUUUCCUUCACUGCUAUAACAAACUACCACAAAUGUAGUGGCUUAAAACACAAAUUUAUUCUGUUAGAGUCCUGGAGGUCAGAAGCCCACAGGGAAUCCUACAAGGAGCCUUCUGUGGGCUCCAGGGUAGAGUCUGUUUCCUUGUCUCCUCCACUCUCAGAGACCACCUGCUUGGCUUGGCUCCUCGUCCAACUUCCUCCACCUUCAGAGUGCUUCACUCCAACCUCCAGAUCGCAUCCGACCUCGUCCAACCUCCAGAUCGCAUCCGACCUCGUCCUCCUUUGACCUGCUGGCUGCCCUCUUAUUAGGACUCUUGCGAUUACAUAAGAUUCAGUUGGAUAAUCUAGGAAAUCUCCCCACCGCAAAAUCCUUAAUUUAGACACAUCUGCAAAGUCCCUUUGGAUAUAAGGCAAUAUUCACAGUUUCAGGCAUUGGGACAGAAUAUCCCUGGGGGACCAUUAUUCAAUCCACCACAGUGAUAGUUUCCAAAUGAGAGACAAGUCAAAUGAACCCCUAAAAUACAUGGGAAUAUCUUAAAGUAAGGGAGCUCCAGGGAGGAAGAAAUUUUUUUGACGUUUAUUUUAUUUUUGAGAGAGAAGGAAGAGAGUGCGAGUGGGGGAGGAGCAGAGAGAGGGAUACAGAGGAUCCAAAGCAGGCUGUGUCUGUGCUGACAGCAACAAGCCCAAGGCAGGGCUUGAACUCACGAACUGUGGGAUCAUGACUUGAGCAGAAGUCAAAUGCUCAACCAACUGAGCCACCCAGGAACCCCGGGAGGAAGAAUAUUAUGUUUGAUUUUUCUUUUUACCAAUGCAGAAUGAGGGACUUACUACAACCAAAAAACAAAUGUGCUCAAAUGAAAGGGAUUAGUAUCUUAGAUGUUCUAGUUUUUUUUCUCUUCUUAUCCAAUGCUUUCUUUAUGUGUGUAUGUUCAUUAUGUAAGCGCUGGGAUUCCAGGACGGCACUGCCUACAAAUCAUGUAAAAUGUAACAACGUUCUCCCCCAUGAGACUUUGUUAAUAGCAUUCAAGGUAAGUAAGGUAGGGGAAACACAGUGAUAUGUAGGUAGUCAACUAUUUCCCUUUGAGAUCCUUGAGAGCAUCAGUUGCCCUGAUUCACAUUUUUAUCUCCCACAGAGUGGAGCACAAAUUCAACACUAAACAUUUGUUCAGCAACCCAGCGUGCCUUCCUUCUUCCUUCAUUUUAACAGUGCUAGAUUUUCGCACGGAUACCCAACACACACACACACACACACACACACACACACACACACACAGGUACUCAAUCAGUUUUCUGUUCCCUGGCUCACAGUCCCUGGACCAUUGGCCUAAGCUCUUCCCAGUACAGUGAAUGCUGCAUUAGAAGAUUUGUCCUGGCGUGAAGACAUGAACCUGGAACUUGUAUGGACAUUUAACCCGCAUGAGGAGAAAUGUAAUAUCUGGACGGAGAGAAGCACAUUGC
RNAcentral lists this long non-coding RNA (4409 nucleotides) under Lynx pardinus (Iberian lynx). The record is from RNAcentral. Lineage: Eukaryota; Metazoa; Chordata; Mammalia; Carnivora; Felidae.